UGAACGCUGGCGGUAGGCCUAACACAUGCAAGUCGAACGGCAGCACAGUAAGAGCUUGCUCUUACGGGUGGCGAGUGGCGGACGGGUGAGGAAUACAUCGGAAUCUACUUUUUCGUGGGGGAUAACGUAGGGAAGCUUACGCUAAUACCGCAUACGACCUACGGGUGAAAGCAGGGGAUCUUCGGACCUUGCGCGAUUGAAUGAGCCGAUGUCGGAUUAGCUAGUUGGCGGGGUAAAGGCCCACCAAGGCGACGACCCGUAGCUGGUCUGAGAGGAUGAUCAGCCACACUGGAACUGAGACACGGUCCAGACUCCUACGGGAGGCAGCAGUGGGGAAUAUUGGACAAUGGGCGCAAGCCUGAUCCAGCCAUACCGCGUGGGUGAAGAAGGCCUUCGGGUUGUAAAGCCCUUUUGUUGGGAAAGAAAAGCAGCAGGUUAAUACCCCGCUGUUCUGACGGUACCCAAAGAAUAAGCACCGGCUAACUUCGUG
RNAcentral lists this ribosomal RNA (490 nucleotides) under uncultured bacterium. Its description in RNAcentral is "partial 16S ribosomal RNA". It matches the Rfam family "Bacterial small subunit ribosomal RNA", at positions 30 to 507 of the family's 1533-position model. The record is from RNAcentral.